UUGGCAUGAUGAGGAAAGAAAUAUAUUUGCGUCUGAUCUGCUAGAUGAGAAAUUCCUCCUACUCAUUCUGA
Molecule: small nucleolar RNA, 71 nt
Filed under: Setaria italica (foxtail millet)
Lineage: Eukaryota; Viridiplantae; Streptophyta; Magnoliopsida; Poales; Poaceae
Also listed under: 1 other name
Description: snoRNA snoZ105
Rfam family: Small nucleolar RNA Z105
About the family: This family consists of several snoRNA Z105 sequences which are members of the C/D class of snoRNA which contain the C (UGAUGA) and D (CUGA) box motifs.
Source: Rfam by way of RNAcentral